UCGGGAAUAUUGCGCAAUGGGGGAAACCCUGACGCAGCCAUGCCGCGUGUGUGAAGAAGGCUCUAGGGUUGUAAAGCACUUUCAACGGGGAAGAAAAGCUGAUGGUUAAUACCCAUCAGCCCUGACGUUACCCGCAGAAGAAGAUCCGGCUAACUCCGUGCCAGCAGCCGCGGUAAUACGGAGGGAUCGAACGUUAAUCGGAAUUACUGGGCGUAAAGCGCGCGUAGGUGGUUUGGUAAGCGGGAUGUGAAAGCCCCGGGCUCAACCUGGGAACUGCAUUUCGAACUGCCAGACUAGAGUGCAGUAGAGGGAGGUGGAAUUUCCUGUGUAGCGGUGAAAUGCGUAGAUAUAGGAAGGAACACCAGUGGCGAAGGCGGCCUCCUGGACUGACACUGACACUGAGGUGCGAAAGCGUGGGGAGCAAACAGGAUUAGAUACCCCCGUAGUCC
Molecule: ribosomal RNA, 449 nt
Filed under: uncultured prokaryote
Description: bacterial SSU rRNA
Rfam family: Bacterial small subunit ribosomal RNA
Source: RNAcentral